CUCAUAGCUCAGUUGGUUAGAGCAGAGGACUCAUAAUCCUUUGGUCCCAGGUUCGAGUCCUGGUGGGC
Molecule: transfer RNA, 68 nt
Filed under: marine eukaryotic metagenome
Rfam family: tRNA
About the family: Transfer RNA (tRNA) molecules are approximately 80 nucleotides in length. Their secondary structure includes four short double-helical elements and three loops (D, anti-codon, and T loops). Further hydrogen bonds mediate the characteristic L-shaped molecular structure. tRNAs have two regions of fundamental functional importance: the anti-codon, which is responsible for specific mRNA codon recognition, and the 3' end, to which the tRNAs corresponding amino acid is attached (by aminoacyl-tRNA synthetases). tRNAs cope with the degeneracy of the genetic code in two manners: having more than one tRNA (with a specific anti-codon) for a particular amino acid; and 'wobble' base-pairing, i.e. permitting non-standard base-pairing at the 3rd anti-codon position.
Source: RNAcentral